GGUGCAAGCUGACUUGUCGCUCCGGUCCUAGAGGCUGGUGAGGAAAGUCCGGGCAACAUAGAGCACCAUACUUCCUAACGGGAAGGGGUUUAGCUGGAGACAGCUGAACUACAGACAGUGCCACAGAAAACAAACCGCUCCAUCCCCCGGGAUGGGGUAAGGGUGAAAAGGUGGGGUAAGAGCCCACCGGGCAGCGGGCGACCGAUGCCGCAUGGCAAACCUUAUGGGUUGAAAGAUCAAAUAGGCUCCGGUCCAAGAGCUGCUCGUUCAAUUCCCGCCUUGGCGGGAAAACCGGAGUGGGUAGAUCGAUAGAUCCUGAUCGCGAGGUCAGGGCCAGAUAAAUGACAAGUAUCCAUCCCAUUGAUACCGGGAUGGGGACAGAACCCGGCUUAUAGGCUUGCACAUUUA
Molecule: RNase P RNA, 408 nt
Filed under: Echinicola soli
Lineage: Bacteria; Pseudomonadati; Bacteroidota; Cytophagia; Cytophagales; Cyclobacteriaceae
Description: Echinicola sp. LN3S3 RNase P RNA component class A
Rfam family: Bacterial RNase P class A
About the family: Ribonuclease P (RNase P) is a ubiquitous endoribonuclease, found in archaea, bacteria and eukarya as well as chloroplasts and mitochondria.
Source: RNAcentral